Non-coding RNA from Gasterosteus aculeatus aculeatus (three-spined stickleback), 264 nucleotides. The record is from RefSeq and is a predicted model, not a curated record. NCBI's taxonomy places the organism in Eukaryota, Metazoa, Chordata, Actinopteri, Perciformes, Gasterosteidae.
CAGACAUGGCAGCACAGAGAGAAGACCCAGAGGAGCAGGAGGACCAGGUGUGAAGAUGCAGUGAAACCAGAGGGAGACUCACCUGGACGGAGACAGGAACCAGUGGACACAUUUCCCUUCAGUACCAUAAGUUAUUGUCUGAGGUCUUUACAAAGUUAAAACUAUAGUUUUUAUUUCAUUCUCUUUGCUCUUGAAUCACUGUUUUUAUUUUAAAUGUUCUUCGGUAGAGAACUUUGAAUUUCAUUCUUGCUUCAAUGUGUUUUA